This is a non-coding RNA of Chelonoidis abingdonii (Abingdon island giant tortoise), 270 nucleotides long. The record is from RefSeq and is a predicted model, not a curated record. NCBI's taxonomy places the organism in Eukaryota, Metazoa, Chordata, Testudines, Testudinidae.
GAUUUCUUGGGGGGGGGUCAUGUGGGGGUUAGAGGUGACGGGAGGCCCCCCUCUGUCCAGGGGGAAGAGGAUGGUUGGGGGAGGCAGGGGAUCCCCAUCUUUUGAGGGGGCCUCCAUCUGUCCGGUGUCACAUCCCCCCUUUGCCGAGCACGAGAAAAGGGCCCAACACUCCUCUCCAGCUGCGGGGGCCAGUUCUGGUGGCGCAGGGGGGCUCCAGCUGCUGGGUUGUGGGGGGACGACACAGGGGGAGGUUCGCUCCUGCCCCCUAGG